UUCUGCAAAGCCAUGCUUAACAUGCUUUGCUAGGUCUAAGUGUCAUCCUUGACUCAGGAAUCUCCUUUAUAUAGUAUAAAUCUGAUUUCAGCCUGCUGCUAGGAUCACACAGCUCUUUGAAUAAGAAGAUCUGUGCAGUAUCUGGUGAGAGUGUAUGUUGAUUUAAAGCUUUCUCCUUUUGAGCAUGGAGAGGUUCUCCUGGAGCAGAUAGAAUUAUUUCACAGCCUCUAUGGCUUCCUUCCCACAGCUUUUGAGAUGGCCCUUUGACUGCUGUUCUUCCCCAGACAGACCUUGUUCUGCAGCCUGAGACAGUCCUUAUUCCUUAUUCCAGCUCUUUCUCUUGAUCUUCCUGGGCUCUGUCUGCUCUUGGCAAGGAUAACAAACCUCUUCUGCCUGUCAGCUUUGGAAGAUGAUGGCCUUUCAUGACCACCCUGUGUCCUGCUGGUCCCUGGCUACCCAACACCCCCAGCCCCAUGUCUUGUCUGUAACCUGAUGCACUUGCCCACUGCUUAGCCCAUAAUGUAUCUAUAGCUGUAGACAAUUGCUCAGCACUUAAAUAUUAACAUGCUAAUUAAUAAUGAAAGCUGAGAUUGUAGUUAGGUUUAAAACUUUAAUUGGGUGAGGAGUAGUCCAUAACAAUGAAACUGUGUUAUUAAUAUCUAUAUAUCUAUGUGUUUAAAUAUCUUUCCCUCUAUCAAUAGCAUUGCACAAGAGAAGUAGCCUGAGUGUGGAUAUCUGCAAAGAUGUUUUCUUGAGGCACUUGGAACCUUGCAGCAGGAAGUCAUAAAGCACUAGGCCAGUCUGCAAGUGCAGCAUUUGUUCCAGUGUUAAAGCAGCCCAAGCUACUGCAGUCAACUAUGUUGGACACAAUUAUCUGAGAGGUCUUUUCCAGCCUAAACGAUUCUGUGAAAACGGACUAAAAAAGGAUGAAGAACAGCAAGUGGAGCAGAAGCAAUGGAGAAAACGUGCGAGGAGCCAAGUGCCUCUGACGGCGGCGCGCGUUGUUACAGGACCCGUUGCCACAGCAUCCUGCUCCCGCGGAUCCUGCGCGCAAACACAGCUAAGUAUUUUCCAUAUGCAUUUGAAAACCAUGUGUGACAAAUGUGUGUUCGCUUGCUUCCACCCCGAAGCCAGGGACGUUCCCCGCAGCCGUGCCGCGGCACCGGCGGCGGCCGGGCCGGGUUAACCCCACCGCCGCUGCCGCCGCCCCAUUGCCGGGCGCCCCCCCCCGCCGUUCCCAUUGGAGGCGCCCGGCCGCGUCUCCCCGGUCGGGGCAGCGCUGGCGGCUGAUUGGCGGGCGGGCGGCGCGCG
This is a long non-coding RNA of Taeniopygia guttata (zebra finch), 1311 nucleotides long. RefSeq lists it as uncharacterized. The record is from RefSeq and is a predicted model, not a curated record. Lineage: Eukaryota; Metazoa; Chordata; Aves; Passeriformes; Estrildidae.